UAGCAAUAGCAAGUUAGCAGGUGCAUUAUCAAGAUAGUGAAAUCCUUGACUUGAUAGUCAAAUUUUGUAAACAUCAUUAGGAAUAGUUUAUAUAUAUAGAGGGAGGGAGAGAGAGAGAAAUAGAUUGGACUUAGGUUGAUUGGAUUUGAGUUCAAUUUAGUCAGAUUUCAAUCAUUCUGAUUGGUGCAGAUCUUGAUGCUGUAUCUGUAAGAUGUAUCCCUAG
Molecule: long non-coding RNA, 223 nt
Filed under: Elaeis guineensis (African oil palm)
Lineage: Eukaryota; Viridiplantae; Streptophyta; Magnoliopsida; Arecales; Arecaceae
Description: long non-coding RNA (EGUI_LNC024817)
Source: RNAcentral